Molecule: ribosomal RNA, 497 nt
Filed under: uncultured bacterium
Lineage: Bacteria
Description: partial 16S ribosomal RNA
Rfam family: Bacterial small subunit ribosomal RNA
Source: RNAcentral
GAUGAACGCUGGCGGCGUGCCUAAUACAUGCAAGUCGAGCGAACAGACGAGGAGCUUGCUCCUCUGACGUUAGCGGCGGACGGGUGAGUAACACGUGGAUAACCUACCUAUAAGACUGGGAUAACUUCUGGAAACCGGAGCUAAUACCGGAUAAUAUAUUGAACCGCAUGGUUCAAUAGUGAAAGACGGUUUUGCUGUCACUUAUAGAUGGAUCCGCGCCGCAUUAGCUAGUUGGUAAGGUAACGGCUUACCAAGGCAACGAUGCGUAGCCGACCUGAGAGGGUGAUCGGCCACACUGGAACUGAGACACGGUCCAGACUCCUACGGGAGGCAGCAGUAGGGAAUCUUCCGCAACGGGCGAAAGCCUGACGGAGCAACGCCGCGUGAGUGAUGAAGGUCUUCGGAUCGUAAAACUCUGUUAUUAGGGAAGAACAAAUGUGUAAGUAACUAUGCACGUCUUGACGGUACCUAAUCAGAAAGCCACGGCUAACUACGUG